UGGCGAACGGUGUGUCUAUUUCGCAGGAGCCCGGGAUAUUCAACGUUAUGGAUGCUUAUUUUGACGCGACAUAAAGAUGGAAUGAAUACAUGGUUUGACGAUUGUGUGGAACAUUGUUUUACAAAUAAAUAUCGACCAUAAACUGGAGAAAAGACAUAGCGACGAUAGUUUCCACAUAAGGGACAGACCGAGUUGACAACAGUUAUUAUCCGCGAUGGAUGACGGUCCUGUGACAAUGUCCGUUCGGAAGAAGGCGUUGGGAACCAGUUUUGGUUCUUUUUAAAUAUUUUAAAGUAUAAUUUUGACCUUCUCUGCAUUUUUUUUUCAGCAUUUCAUUUUUGCCAGAUUUCCUUUUUAUUCUUCAUACAAAUUCAAAAAUCUAUUAAUUUGUAUACCAUACCGAGUUCAUGUUAAAUAAGAUCCGGUAUCUGUCACCAUGACCUGAUGUUUAUGCAUUCAUUACGUUUCCAAAUUCUUUUCCCAUUUGUGGUAUUUCUUAUUUUUUCAUCCAUGCAAUUGUAUUGUUUUGCUGCUGUUUUUC
Molecule: long non-coding RNA, 541 nt
Organism: Styela clava
Lineage: Eukaryota; Metazoa; Chordata; Ascidiacea; Stolidobranchia; Styelidae
Source: RefSeq, a predicted model, not a curated record